This is a long non-coding RNA of Megalobrama amblycephala (Wuchang bream), 3009 nucleotides long. RefSeq lists it as uncharacterized. NCBI's taxonomy places the organism in Eukaryota, Metazoa, Chordata, Actinopteri, Cypriniformes, Xenocyprididae. The record is from RefSeq and is a predicted model, not a curated record. The transcript is spliced from 4 exons.
GUGGAGAGCAAGAGCAGUUGUGAGAAAAAACAUGAAAAAAUGGGUUCAAAAACAUGUCACACACAAAUUCAAUUUAUUUCAGUUUACUGUUCUAAAAAACUUCUUUACUGCCAUAAACAAAACAUGUAUUAAAAGUCUUCUUUUCCUUCAACCCCUUAAGCCCUGAGGGUAUUUUCAGAAUUUUUUUUCUGAGUGACACAAAAAAGUAAAGACUCAUAACUCCAAAACUAUAGCAAGGAGAGUCAAAAGGUUGGUAGUGUUUGAAAGAAAACUUUUUAAUAUAAUAAAUAAAUAAAUAAAUAAAUAAAUAAAUAAAUAAAUAAAUAUGGAUAUUCUCAUGCUGAGAAACUGCAAAAAAAAAAAAAAAAAAAUGGUAGCAGGUUCAUUCUUUUUUGGUGAUGUUCCUCUAUAUGUGAGCUGUAUCUGGAUCAUCGUUUCGUUGUGAUCAAAAGUUACAGCAUUUGGAAUCAAGGUAGCCUUUUUUGUUUAUCCAUUGGCGCCCCCUGGUGGGCAUUUUUAAAACGGCUCUUUCGCGUGGAGUAACUCUUGACAAACACAUCGGGUUAUUUUGAUCUUGGACUUAUUUCAUUUAGGAGAAUCCAGUUUAACUGAGCACAUCUGCAGCACUCACAGCAUUAACUCCUGACAGCUGCUGAGAGAGCUGCAGCAGGAUAGCAAUGAUAAUGGGCUGCCGGUACAGAGGAGAGCGAAAGAGCUCAGCAAUGGACACUUUCCUCUCCAUCUCCAUCCUCCUCUUUUCCUCCUUCAUCUCAGCCAAGUCUUCACUGACCUCCAUACGGCCAGUCAGGCGCCGCAAAGCUGAAGAAGAGAGGAAAUAAGCUCAAUGGACACAACCGGAUGUUCGGGAACGCACUGGCUGUGUGAAUGGAACUGGACUGGACAACUAGAUUUCAUACAGUGCGAGAGAGCCAAUCUUUGCUGAACGUGGGUUUGUUUUUCAUAGUCAUGUUUCCUGUUAUUAUGUCAUGGGAUUUCCUGUUCCCCUGAUCUGCGGCCUAUACCACGAAGGCAGUUUAGGUGGCUAGACAGGUAUGUUUCAGUUUAGUUUGUGCCAACCAUGGGUUUUAGGCACCAUGAAAGUGGCUCUACUUUUAGCGGUGUUCAUCGCCGUAACUUACGCUCCAUGGCUAACCUGCUUCGGUGAAAACUGAAACUGGGAAAUCUCAAACUGAAAUGGGACCAAUCAGCUGUGAGCAAAGUGAUGUAAACCUGACGAAAAAAAAAAAAAAUCCCACAGUUUCUCUUGCUCCAAAUUAAAAAUCACUACAAAGUAACAGAUUUUUAAAGAUAAAAUCAUCUGUCUUUUAGAAAUUAUUUAUUAGAAUUAUUUUAUAUGAUUUAUAUAUUAUAUAAUUUUUAUACACUUAAUCCAUAACACAUGAGCAAUUUUAGUUUAACAAUUAUUAUAACGCAUUUACUUUAAAUGUUUAUAAAUGUAUAACAUCAUUUGUAAUAUAAAUACGCUUUACAAUCAAUAGAUAAAGCUUUAAAAUGACUACAUGUGAGCUUGCAUGUUCAAGUCUCUCUCUCUCACUCUCUCUUUCUCUAUAUAUAUAUACACACACAUAUCUAUAUAUAUUAUCAACUAUAAACUAACUUCACAACUUUCACUGAUAUAGCAGGAUAUUUUCCUCUCGAUGUGUAAAUGCAUUUAUGUACUUCAUAUUCUUCAAUCUCUUCAAUCAUCGGCAGAAAAUCAUGCUGACUCUCUUGCGAGAAGUUAAUCACAGUUUUGCAUGUUUCAAGGCAUGUGAUUAGCUGUUCGCUACUGAUGUCACACUUUCAUGUGCACACAUUCUAUGGUUAUUGAUGAACUCAAGAUCAAAGACUGAGCUGACAGAGAAAGUUGAUGAUCAACAUCAUGGUACCAACAAAGCCUGACUGGAUUGGUUUGGGUUGGGUUUGUCAACUCGAAACUGAUCCUGCAACCCUGAGUUUGUUCAGCUACCAUCAUGGUACGGGCCCUACUGAUGUUACAUAUGACACCUUGUAGCUAACUUUCACAAAAAUCCUUACACACAUAUAUAUUUUUUUAGAUAAUGGUAGACAUUCAAAUUUAAUGUUAUUAGCUGCUGAAAUUUGACUGUCCUUUUUUUUUAAGGUAUAUUAUAACUAAUAUGGAGUUAUAAUGUAUUUUUAGCUGUUGUGCCCCCUAUUAGUGGAAUUUUACAAAACUUGGUGUGUGUCCGAAGAACGUCCUGUUGUCUAUAUGUGUCAGGUUUUGUUAAGCCUGGACACUGCGUUCAGCAGCUAUAGGUCAACACUUAAAAAUAGGCAUUGCCUGACCAAUUAAUUAACUUGUAUCUCUGCAAUGCUUAGACGAAUCAAAAUUCUUUUGAUAACUUUUUGCCAGCACUGUCACUAGCUGCUGUGUGCCUAUUUUGGUGAAGAUCGAACAAACAGCCUAAUUCUAAUAUGCUGAUUUGGUGCUCAAGAAACAUUUCUUAAUGUUGAAAAUAGUGGUACUCCUUAACAUUAUAAAUGUCUUUACUGUCACUUUUGACCAAUUUAAUCUUACUGACCCAAAACUUGUGUGUGUAAUGUGCGUACCAGAAGUAUUAUGGCCCUUUGAAACAGCUUUUGGAAAAAAUACCCUGAAUAACUUUAAGAAGUGAUAUGAAGAUCCAUGGUAGAGAUUAAAAUUCAAACUCAAACUCAGGAGAUAAAGUCCUGGCACUAGAACAAAGAGAUUCCCAAACAAUAACACAAGCAUUAGCUGUAUGUUAUUCUGGUCCCAUUUGUGUAAAUGUCACAUCUAAAUGUUUCCUCUCACAUGUUCUGUCAAAACACACUCUAGAAUUAGAUGAUCUUAGAUUUUGAUGUAUAUCAUAAGAGGAGAACAAAUGUUUUCACAUUUCAGCAGCUUAUGAUGCACUUUAGAGUUAAAUAUAAUGAAACUUUAUAUUCUUUGGACAACAUUAUAUCCAGCUGUUUCAAAGUGAAGUUUUAACAAUACAGUGAUAUUAUGUCAAAAGUAUCAUAUGGAUG